AUACUUACCUGGCAGGGGAAACACCAUGAUCAUGAAGGUGGUUUUCCCAGGGCGAGGCCAACCCAUUGCACUGCAGGUGUGCCGACCUCUGUUCCCAGGGCGAGGCUAACCCAUUGCACUGCAGGUGUGCUGACCUCUGCGAUUUCCCCAAAUGCGGGAAACUCGGGUGCAUAAUUUGUGGGAGUGGGGGACUGCGUGCAUGCUCUCCCCUG
RNAcentral lists this small nuclear RNA (212 nucleotides) under Tupaia belangeri chinensis (Chinese tree shrew). RNAcentral describes it as "Tupaia chinensis (Chinese tree shrew) U1 spliceosomal RNA". It matches the Rfam family "U1 spliceosomal RNA". Rfam says of the family: U1 is a small nuclear RNA (snRNA) component of the spliceosome (involved in pre-mRNA splicing). Its 5' end forms complementary base pairs with the 5' splice junction, thus defining the 5' donor site of an intron. Lineage: Eukaryota; Metazoa; Chordata; Mammalia; Scandentia; Tupaiidae. The record is from Rfam by way of RNAcentral.